RNAcentral lists this ribosomal RNA (1931 nucleotides) under Candidatus Wolfebacteria bacterium GWA1_42_9. Its description in RNAcentral is "bacterial SSU rRNA". It matches the Rfam family "Bacterial small subunit ribosomal RNA". Lineage: Bacteria; Candidatus Wolfeibacteriota. The record is from RNAcentral.
UUUUGAGAGUUUGAUCCUAGCUCAGGAUGAACGCUGGCGGCGUGGAUAAGGCAUGCAAGUCGAACGAUCAUUCGCUUCGCUCAUUGUAGCGAUGCGAAUAUGCGAAUCUGCUAAUAAUACGAAUAAAAACAUUUGUAUAAUUAGUAUUAUUUGUAUAUUGGUAUCGAUACAGCGAGCGGAGCGAGUGGUAGUGGCGAACGAGUCAGUAACACCUUGGUUACGUACCCCGAAGUGGAGCAUAGCCAGCCGAAAGGUUGGGUAAUUCUCCAUAAUCCCGCAAGGGUAAAGUCGCAAGACGCUUUGGGAUCGGCCUAGGCCCGAUCAGCUUGUUGGUGAGGUAACGGCUCACCAAGGCUACGACCGGUAGGGGUGCUGANNNNNNNNNNNNNNNCUACAUGAGGAAGAUCGCCUCGUGCGGUUUGACGUUAGUGUAGGAAUAAGAGGUUGCUAACUCUGUGCCAGCCCGCCUAAAUUUUUGGCGAGGCUGGAAAUGGCGCAGAGCUUCGACGGUAACGUCGGAUAGGAAAACUUGGCUUAUAUGCUGGAACAUUUUUUAUCGUCCGCUGAUAUUUCUCUAUACAAGAGAACGCGAUAAAAAAUAAUCAGCAGGGAAGUCGUAAUUGACCCCUCAGAGACUUCGUUGAUUAAACGAGAUAGAUGUUUUUGAACGUCUAUAAUAUGCCAGGCCCCCAUAAAAUGGGGUGAUGAUAUAGUCCAAUUAGUUCGCCAAAAACUUUGGCGGGCCAGCAGCAGCGGUAAUACAGAGACCUCGAGCGUUGUCCGGAUUUAUUGGGCGUAAAGGGCGCGUAGGAUUCUCUUUGCAUCUCCAGUCAAAUAUUGAGGCUUAACCUCAAAACCGCUGGAGAGAUGAAAGAGAUUGAGGGUGCCAGAGGCAAGCGGAACGCACGGUGUAGGGGUGAAAUCCGUUGAUAUCGUGCGGAACACCAUAGGCGAAGGCGGCUUGCUGGGGCAUUCCUGACUCUGAGGCGCGAAAGCGUGGGGAGCAAAAAGGAUUAGAUACCCUUGUAGUCCACGCCCUAAACUAUGUUCGCUGGCUGUCGGGAGUAUCGACCCUCUCGGUGGCGAAGCUAACGCGUUAAGCGAACCGCCUGGGAAGUACGGCCGCAAGGCUAAAACUCAAAGGAAUAGACGGGGACUCGCACAAGCGGUGGAGCAUGAGGUUUAAUUCGAUGGUAAGCGAAACACCUCACCAGGGCUUGAAAUCCCAACGACGUCUCGCCGAAAGGCGUGAUUCUCCAGGUUUACUUGGAGCGUUGGGGCAGGUGUUGCACGGUUGUCGUCAGCUCGUGGCUUGAGUUGUUCCCUUAAGUGGGUCAACGAGCGCAACCCCUGUUGCCUGUUACAAGUGUCAGGCAAGACUGCCCAGCUCUUUUGGCAGUAUUAGAUUUUGUUGAUAGUAUGUGAGUAUGUUCUAUGUUUAUCUGAUAAAAAGUUUAAAAAGUGAUUUUCUGUAUGUCGGUACUACCGAUGAUUUAAGAAGAAGAUUUGCAGAACAUAGUAGUGGAAGAGAACUAUCAACAAAAUCUUACGCGCCUUUUAAGUUAAUUUAUUGCGAAGCCUAUCGGAGUAAGUAAGAAAGAUGCUUUGAUUAGAGAGAAAAAAUUAAAACAUCAUGGCAGCGUAAUUGGUCAUCUUAAAAGGCGCGUCAAACAUAGUUUAUUAGAAUAGUGCCAAAAGAGCUGGGAGGAAGGAGGGGAUGACGUCAAAUCAGCGUGACCCUUUGAUGCCCUGGGCGACACUCAUGCUACAAUGGCAGGUACAAUGGGUAGCCAAGCCGUAAGGCGGAGCCAAUCCCAUCAAAACUUGCCCCAGUUCGGAUUGGAGUCUGCAACUCGACUCCAUGAAGCCGGAAUCGCUAGUAAUCGCGGAUCAGCACGCCGCGGUGAAUACGUUCUCGAGUCUUGUACUCA